AAUCCAUGCAUCAGACAUUUCUGAAUUAACUCUUUAAAUUAUUCCCAAGCUUCAUAUAGUAUUACAUCCUCUGAUUGUCGAAAAGAUGUAUGUCAUUUCUAAGCUU
RNAcentral lists this small nucleolar RNA (106 nucleotides) under Gossypium hirsutum (cotton). RNAcentral's name for it is "Plant small nucleolar RNA R71". It matches the Rfam family "Plant small nucleolar RNA R71". From Rfam's summary of the family: R71 is a member of the C/D box family of snoRNAs containing the C (UGAUGA) and D (CUGA) box motifs. Multiple nearly identical copies of this snoRNA have been identified in Arabidopsis, and it is thought to function as a 2'-O-ribose methylation guide for 18S ribosomal RNA. The record is from Rfam by way of RNAcentral. Lineage: Eukaryota; Viridiplantae; Streptophyta; Magnoliopsida; Malvales; Malvaceae. RNAcentral also lists the same sequence under 1 other name.